RNAcentral lists this transfer RNA (73 nucleotides) under Ixodes scapularis (black-legged tick). RNAcentral describes it as "tRNA-Ser for anticodon GGA". It matches the Rfam family "tRNA". From Rfam's summary of the family: Transfer RNA (tRNA) molecules are approximately 80 nucleotides in length. Lineage: Eukaryota; Metazoa; Arthropoda; Arachnida; Ixodida; Ixodidae. The record is from RNAcentral.
UCCUAAUUAGCUCAGUCGGUAGAGCGCUCCACUGGAAAUGGAGAGGACCAUGGUUCGAUACCAGGACCAGGCG